UUGGAGGGCAAGUCUGGUGCCAGCAGCCGCGGUAAUUCCAGCUCCAAUAGCGUAUAUUAAAGUUGUUGCAGUUAAAAAGCUCGUAGUUGAAUUUCGGGGUUAGUAGGUUGGUCAUGCCUCUGGUAUGCACUGGUCUCACUGAUUCCUCCUUCCUGAUGAGCCGUAAUGCCAUUAAUUUGGUGUUGCGGGGAAUUUGGACUGUUACUUUGAAAAAAUUAGAGUGUUUAAAGCGAGCUAACGCUUGAAUACAUUAGCAUGGAAUAAUGAAAUAGGACGUUCGAUCCUAUUUUGUUGGUUUCUAGGAUUGACGUAAUGAUUAAUAGGGAUAGUUGGGGGCAUUAGUAUUCAAUUGUCAGAGGUGAAAUUCUUGGAUUUAUUGAAGACUAACUACUGCGAAAGCAUUUGCCAAGGAUGUUUUCAUUAAUCAAGAACGAAAGUUAGGGGAUCGAAGACGAUCAGAUACCGUCGUAGUCUUAACCAUAAACUAUGCCGACUAGGGAUCGGAUGAUGUUAAUUUUUUAAUGACUCAUUCGGCGCCUUACGGGAAAC
This 549-nucleotide ribosomal RNA is filed under the name uncultured Glomeraceae. Its description in RNAcentral is "SSU rRNA". It matches the Rfam family "Eukaryotic small subunit ribosomal RNA", at positions 548 to 1098 of the family's 1831-position model. Lineage: Eukaryota; Fungi; Glomeromycota; Glomeromycetes; Glomerales; Glomeraceae. The record is from RNAcentral.